RNAcentral lists this ribosomal RNA (301 nucleotides) under uncultured bacterium. RNAcentral's name for it is "partial 16S ribosomal RNA". It matches the Rfam family "Bacterial small subunit ribosomal RNA", at positions 509 to 808 of the family's 1533-position model. The record is from RNAcentral.
CAGCCGCCGCGGGAAUACGUAGGUCCCGAGCGUUGUCCGGAUUUAUUGGGCGUAAAGCGAGCGCAGGCGGUUAGAUAAGUCUGAAGUUAAAGGCUGUGGCUUAACCAUAGUAUGCUUUGGAAACUGUUUAACUUGAGUGCAGAAGGGGAGAGUGGAAUUCCAUGUGUAGCGGUGAAAUGCGUAGAUAUAUGGAGGAACACCGGUGGCGAAAGCGGCUCUCUGGUCUGUAACUGACGCUGAGGCUCGAAAGCGUGGGGAGCAAACAGGAUUAGAUACCCCUGUAGUCCCUGUCUCUUAUACA